Molecule: transfer RNA, 90 nt
Filed under: Candidatus Shapirobacteria bacterium
Lineage: Bacteria; Candidatus Shapironibacteriota
Description: tRNA-Ser
Rfam family: tRNA
About the family: Transfer RNA (tRNA) molecules are approximately 80 nucleotides in length. Their secondary structure includes four short double-helical elements and three loops (D, anti-codon, and T loops).
Source: RNAcentral
GGAGGGAUGCAGGAGUGGCUUAUCUGGCAGGUCUCGAAAACCUUGCGGGCAUUAUUGUCCACGGGAGUUCGAAUCUCCCUCCCUCCGCCA